GUAAGGAAUUUUCGGCAAUGGAGGAAACUCUGACCGAGCAACGCCGCGUGAGUGAUGAAGGCCUUCGGGUCGUAAAGCUCUGUUACAGGGGAAGAACAUACCGGGUAGGAAAUGCCCCGGUACUGACGGUACCCUGCCAGAAAGUCACGGCUUACUACGUGCCAGCAGCCGCGGUAAUACGUAGGUGGCAAGCGUUAUCCGGAUUUAUUGGGCGUAAAGGGUGCGCAGGCGGCCUGUUAAGUCUGAGGUGAAAGCGUGGGGCUCAACCCCAUACAGCCUCGGAUACUGGCAGGCUCGAGUGAAGAAGAGGGAAGUGGAAUUCCAUGUGUAGCGGUAAAAUGCGUAGAUAUAUGGAGGAACACCGGUGGCGAAGGCGGCUUCCUGGUCUUCUACUGACGCUCAUGCACGAAAGCGUGGGGAGCAAAUAGGAUUAGAAACCCUAGUAGUCC
RNAcentral lists this ribosomal RNA (449 nucleotides) under uncultured bacterium. Its description in RNAcentral is "bacterial SSU rRNA". It matches the Rfam family "Bacterial small subunit ribosomal RNA", at positions 354 to 796 of the family's 1533-position model. The record is from RNAcentral.